Agelaius phoeniceus (red-winged blackbird) is the source of this 286-nucleotide non-coding RNA. Lineage: Eukaryota; Metazoa; Chordata; Aves; Passeriformes; Icteridae. The record is from RefSeq and is a predicted model, not a curated record.
AGGUCUCGUGUUUCCGUGAGGAGCGGGAUGUGCUGGCCCGCGGGGACCGGCGCUGGAUCACGCGGCUGCACUUCGCCUUCCAGGACCCGCAGUGCCUGUACCUGGUCAUGGAGUACUACAUCGGCGGGGACCUCCUGACGCUGCUCAGCAAGUUUGGGGACCGGCUGCCGCUGGCCAUGGCCCGGUUCUACCUGGCCGAGCUGGUGAUGGCCAUCGACUCCGUGCACCGCCUGGGCUACGUGCACCGGGACAUCAAACCUGACAACAUCCUGCUGGACCGCUGGGG